This 476-nucleotide ribosomal RNA is filed under the name uncultured bacterium. Its description in RNAcentral is "bacterial SSU rRNA". It matches the Rfam family "Bacterial small subunit ribosomal RNA", at positions 15 to 518 of the family's 1533-position model. The record is from RNAcentral.
GAUUAUGGCUCAGGAUGAACGCUGGCGGCGUGCCUAACACGUGCAAGUCGAGCGAUUACUUCGGUAAAGAGCGGCGGACGGGUGAGUAACGCGUGGGUAACCUGCCUCAUACACAUGGAUAACAUACCGAAAGGUAUGCUAAUACAGGAUAAUAUAAGAGAUUCACAUGGAUUUCUUAUCAAAGCUCCGGCGGUAUGAGAUGGACCCGCGUCUGAUUAGCUAGUUGGUAAGGUAGUGGCUUACCAAGGCGACGAUCAGUAGCCGACCUGAGAGGGUGAUCGGCCACAUUGGAACUGAGACACGGUCCAAACUCCUACGGGAGGCAGCAGUGGGGAAUAUUGCACAAUGGGCGAAAGCCUGAUGCAAGCAACGCCGCGUGAGUGAUGAAGGCCUUCGGGUCGUAAAACUCUGUCCUCAAGGAAGAUAAUGACGGUACUUGAGGAGGAAGCCCCGGCUAACUACGUGCCAGCAGCAGC